Molecule: ribosomal RNA, 400 nt
Filed under: Enterobacter sp.
Lineage: Bacteria; Pseudomonadati; Pseudomonadota; Gammaproteobacteria; Enterobacterales; Enterobacteriaceae
Also listed under: 2 other names
Description: partial 16S ribosomal RNA
Rfam family: Bacterial small subunit ribosomal RNA
Source: RNAcentral
GAGACUUUCAGAGAUGGAUUGGUGCCUUCGGGAACUCUGAGACAGGUGCUGCAUGGCUGUCGUCAGCUCGUGUUGUGAAAUGUUGGGUUAAGUCCCGCAACGAGCGCAACCCUUAUCCUUUGUUGCCAGCGGUUAGGCCGGGAACUCAAAGGAGACUGCCAGUGAUAAACUGGAGGAAGGUGGGGAUGACGUCAAGUCAUCAUGGCCCUUACGAGUAGGGCUACACACGUGCUACAAUGGCGCAUACAAAGAGAAGCGACCUCGCGAGAGCAAGCGGACCUCAUAAAGUGCGUCGUAGUCCGGAUUGGAGUCUGCAACUCGACUCCAUGAAGUCGGAAUCGCUAGUAAUCGUAGAUCAGAAUGCUACGGUGAAUACGUUCCCGGGUCUUGUACACACCGA